GGGAAUGCCAAAUGUUUGUUGAAGAACACGUUCAUCAAAUAUAACAAAUAUGAAAAUAAAAAUUGGCAUGCUGUGUCUGACAUAAUUGUCAAAAAGCUAAGGCUGAGUCCAUCACAGCUACUAUAUCUAUACAUUGUCUGUUACAAAUGGUGGAGUUUUUGGGGAUUGGACAUACCAAGAAUUUUGUACGAAAGGUCAUUAUGCCGUUGGUUACAAAAUGAAUAUUGAAGGGCCAGAUGACGAUAGAACAGAACUGAAUGCUAUCGAGAUUAUCUGUGGA
Molecule: long non-coding RNA, 280 nt
Organism: Mytilus californianus (California mussel)
Lineage: Eukaryota; Metazoa; Mollusca; Bivalvia; Mytilida; Mytilidae
Exons: 3
Source: RefSeq, a predicted model, not a curated record